GCGUUAGCUCGCUAACACAUAUACUAAAAUUGGAACGAUACAGAGAAGAUUAGCAUGGC
RNAcentral lists this small nuclear RNA (59 nucleotides) under Nothobranchius furzeri (turquoise killifish). Lineage: Eukaryota; Metazoa; Chordata; Actinopteri; Cyprinodontiformes; Nothobranchiidae. The record is from RNAcentral.